ACGUAGGGGGCAAGCGUUGUCCGGAUUUAUUGGGCGUAAAGCGCGCGCAGGUGGGUUGCCAAGUCAGUUGUGAAAUUUUAGGGCUUAACCCUAAAGGGUCAACUGAAACUGGCAAGCUAGAGUGCAGCAGAGGAAAGCGGAAUUCCCGGUGUAGUGGUGAAAUGCGUAGAUAUCGGGAGGAACAUCAGUGGCGAAGGCGGCUAUCUGGACCAACACUGACACUGAGGUACGAAAGCGUGGGUAGCAAACA
This 250-nucleotide ribosomal RNA is filed under the name uncultured bacterium. RNAcentral's name for it is "partial 16S ribosomal RNA". It matches the Rfam family "Bacterial small subunit ribosomal RNA", at positions 525 to 774 of the family's 1533-position model. The record is from RNAcentral.